AUUGAACGCUGGCGGUAUGCUUUACACAUGCAAGUCGAACGGUAGAGGGGGCAACCCCUUGAGAGUGGCGAACGGGUGAGUAAUGCAUCGGAACGUGCCCAGUCGUGGGGGAUAACGCAGCGAAAGCUGUGCUAAUACCGCAUACGGUCUAUGGAUGAAAGCGGGGGACCGUAAGGCCUCGCGCGAUUGGAGCGGCCGAUGUCAGAUUAGGUAGUUGGUGGGGGAAAGGCUCACCAAGCCAACGAUCUGUAGCUGGUCUGAGAGGACGACCAGCCACACUGGGACUGAGACACGGCCCAGACGCCUACGGGAGGCAGCAGUGGGGAAUUUUGGACAAUGGGCGCAAGCCUGAUCCAGCAAUGCCGCGUGCAGGAAGAAGGCCUUCGGGUUGUAAACUGCCUUUGUACGGAACGAAACGGCGAGCUCUAAUACAGUUUGCUAAUGACGGUACCGUAAGAAUAAGCACCGGCUAACUACGUGCCAGCCGCCGCCGUAA
Molecule: ribosomal RNA, 496 nt
Filed under: uncultured bacterium
Lineage: Bacteria
Description: partial 16S ribosomal RNA
Rfam family: Bacterial small subunit ribosomal RNA
Source: RNAcentral